Molecule: ribosomal RNA, 433 nt
Filed under: uncultured bacterium
Lineage: Bacteria
Description: partial 16S ribosomal RNA
Rfam family: Bacterial small subunit ribosomal RNA
Source: RNAcentral
AACGAACGCUGGCGGCAUGCCUAACACAUGCAAGUCGAACGAGACCUUCGGGUCUAGUGGCGCACGGGUGCGUAACGCGUGGGAACCUGCCCUUAGGUUCGGAAUAACUCCCCGAAAGGGGUGCUAAUACCGGAUAAUGUCUUCGGACCAAAGAUUUAUCGCCUUUGGAUGGGCCCGCGUUGGAUUAGCUAGUUGGUAGGGUAAAAGCCUACCAAGGCGACGAUCCAUAGCUGGUCUGAGAGGAUGAUCAGCCACACUGGGACUGAGACACGGCCCAGACUCCUACGGGAGGCAGCAGUGGGGAAUAUUGGACAACGGGCGAAAGCCUGAUCCAGCAAUGCCGCGUGAGUGAUGAAGGCCUUAGGGCUGUAAAGCUCUUUUACCCGGGAUGAUAAUGACAGUACCGGGAGAAUAAGCUCCGGCUAACUCCGUG